GAGUUUGAUCCUGGCUCAGAUUGAACGCUGGCGGCAGGCCUAACACAUGCAAGUCGAACGGUAACAGGAAGNAGCUUGCUNCUUNGCUGACGAGUGGCGGACGGGUGAGUAAUGUCUGGGAAACUGCCUGAUGGAGGGGGAUAACUACUGGAAACGGUAGCUAAUACCGCAUAACGUCGCAAGACCAAAGAGGGGGACCUUCGGGCCUCUUGCCAUCGGAUGUGCCCAGAUGGGAUUAGCUAGUAGGUGGGGUAACGGCUCACCUAGGCGACGAUCCCUAGCUGGUCUGAGAGGAUGACCAGCCACACUGGAACUGAGACACGGUCCAGACUCCUACGGGAGGCAGCAGUGGGGAAUAUUGCACAAUGGGCGCAAGCCUGAUGCAGCCAUGCCGCGUGUAUGAAGAAGGCCUUCGGGUUGUAAAGUACUUUCAGCGGGGAGGAAGGGAGUAAAGUUAAUACCUUUGCUCAUUGACGUUACCCGCAGAAGAAGCACCGGCUAACUCCGUGCCAGCAGCCCGCG
Molecule: ribosomal RNA, 522 nt
Filed under: Escherichia coli
Lineage: Bacteria; Pseudomonadati; Pseudomonadota; Gammaproteobacteria; Enterobacterales; Enterobacteriaceae
Description: bacterial SSU rRNA
Rfam family: Bacterial small subunit ribosomal RNA
Source: RNAcentral